GGGCCCGUCGCCUAGCCAGGAUAGGGCGCCGGCCUCCUAAGCCGGAGGCCCGGGGUUCGAAUCCCCGCGGGCCCGCCUUCCCUUUUCAGACACCUGAUUAAAAACACCGAUAGAGAUCGUUCAAUUUUCAUGAUU
RNAcentral lists this transfer RNA (135 nucleotides) under Desulfurococcus amylolyticus 1221n. RNAcentral describes it as "tRNA-Arg". The stretch from base 1 to 75 matches the Rfam family "tRNA". From Rfam's summary of the family: Transfer RNA (tRNA) molecules are approximately 80 nucleotides in length. Their secondary structure includes four short double-helical elements and three loops (D, anti-codon, and T loops). Further hydrogen bonds mediate the characteristic L-shaped molecular structure. tRNAs have two regions of fundamental functional importance: the anti-codon, which is responsible for specific mRNA codon recognition, and the 3' end, to which the tRNAs corresponding amino acid is attached (by aminoacyl-tRNA synthetases). tRNAs cope with the degeneracy of the genetic code in two manners: having more than one tRNA (with a specific anti-codon) for a particular amino acid; and 'wobble' base-pairing, i.e. permitting non-standard base-pairing at the 3rd anti-codon position. The record is from RNAcentral. Lineage: Archaea; Thermoproteati; Thermoproteota; Thermoprotei; Desulfurococcales; Desulfurococcaceae.